RNAcentral lists this ribosomal RNA (253 nucleotides) under uncultured bacterium. Its description in RNAcentral is "partial 16S ribosomal RNA". It matches the Rfam family "Bacterial small subunit ribosomal RNA", at positions 524 to 776 of the family's 1533-position model. The record is from RNAcentral.
UACGGAGGAUGCAAGCGUUAUCCGGAAUGAUUGGGCGUAAAGCGUCCGCAGGUGGCUGUGUAAGUCUGCUGUUAAAGAGUCUAGCUCAACUAGAUAAAGGCAGUGGAAACUACACGGCUAGAGUGCGUUCGGGGCAGAGGGAAUUCCUGGUGUAGCGGUGAAAUGCGUAGAGAUCAGGAAGAACACCGGUGGCGAAGGCGCUCUGCUAGGCCGCAACUGACACUGAGGGACGAAAGCGUGGGGAGCAAACAGG